Molecule: long non-coding RNA, 237 nt
Filed under: Nicotiana benthamiana
Lineage: Eukaryota; Viridiplantae; Streptophyta; Magnoliopsida; Solanales; Solanaceae
Description: long non-coding RNA (NBEN_LNC032958)
Source: RNAcentral
CUUUCAUCGGUUUUAGCUUUUCCUUUACCGGACAUUUUUUUCAACGAAAAUGGCAUAAUAAUUAUAAUUAAACAAACUAACAACACACAAAAAUAUUCUUAGCACGUAAGAGUUGAAACGAGUUUACCGGAUUGACCAACAACUUCUUGAAAAUUGAAAAUCGUUGAAAUUGAACACUUGAAAACUUCAAUUCAACAACUUCACAAUGUUUCACGAAUUUGCAACAAUAAAUUAAGC